RNAcentral lists this ribosomal RNA (492 nucleotides) under uncultured bacterium. RNAcentral describes it as "partial 16S ribosomal RNA". It matches the Rfam family "Bacterial small subunit ribosomal RNA", at positions 29 to 507 of the family's 1533-position model. The record is from RNAcentral.
AGUGAACGCUGGCGGUAGGCCUAACACAUGCAAGUCGAACGGCAGCACAGUAAGAGCUUGCUCUUACGGGUGGCGAGUGGCGGACGGGUGAGGAAUACAUCGGAAUCUACUUUUUCGUGGGGGAUAACGUAGGGAAACUUACGCUAAUACCGCAUACGACCUACGGGUGAAAGCAGGGGAUCUUCGGACCUUGCGCGAUUGAAUGAGCCGAUGUCGGAUUAGCUAGUUGGCGGGGUAAAGGCCCACCAAGGCGACGAUCCGUAGCUGGUCUGAGAGGAUGAUCAGCCACACUGGAACUGAGACACGGUCAAGACUCCUAAGGGAGGCAGCAGUGGGGAAUAUUGGACAAUGGGCGCAAGCCUGAUCCAGCCAUACCGCGUGGGUGAAGAAGGCCUUCGGGUUGUAAAGACCUUUUGUUGGGAAAGAAAAGCAGCAGGUUAAUACCCCGCUGUUCUGACGGUACCCAAAGAAUAAGCACCGGCUAACUUCGUG